Long non-coding RNA from Chinchilla lanigera (long-tailed chinchilla), 1387 nucleotides. RefSeq lists it as uncharacterized. Lineage: Eukaryota; Metazoa; Chordata; Mammalia; Rodentia; Chinchillidae. The record is from RefSeq and is a predicted model, not a curated record. The transcript is spliced from 3 exons.
AGAGAAAAAGGUCAGGCCUGGGCAAGUGGACGACAUUGGGCCCCAUGUCUGCCUAUCGGGGACAGGUACAGGGUGAAAAGAGAUGAGAAGGCCUUGGCUACUGCCAAGUUUCCUGAAACCUGCAGGCUCCCAAGCUAGCCUUCUAGAACCUCCUUUCCCUCCAGGCAGCCUUUCUGGCUACACCAGGGUCCACUCUUGGGUAACACGCAACCUGACAGAUGCCAGGAGCUUGAGGAUUCAGUUCUUAUCUCUUAAGAAAGCAGGGACCACACCCCUCACCAACCUCUUUGUUACCCUACUUCCUCAUCUACCAAUCAGACUACAGAGGUGGCAUCCUGGAGUUCCAGAACCAGAGGCCACACUAAGACAGCUCUUCCAGUGGCUCCCAAUGAGGAAAAACAGAAGCAAAGAUGGGCUGGCAGGAUGCUCCACGCUGGACGGCUGCAGCCCUACCAUGUGGCCUUGUUGGUCACCUGACAGAUGGUGGUAAUAAUCCCAUCCCAACCAUGUUGAUUUGAGGAUGAAACAAGAUGGUGUGUGCCUAGCACAGACUCAGGCACCUGGGACUGCCUAAUGCAUGGUUUCCCGGUACGCAGCCUCCCGAGGUUGUGGUUCCAGCUGAUUCUGGGCUACCUGUUAGUAAGUAUUUGUUCCUGUGGCGGGCUAGGAUCCUGCCCACAGCUGCACCCACCUGCUCUUAGUACCCAGGAUAGAACCUCUCACCAACUCCACCAUCACUGUACCCAUUUUGCCAAUGAAGAAGAGGAGGAACCUGCUCAGAUAACAUCUGGCAGGGCACAGGACCCUCUGAGCUCACAAGCUACCUGCUCCCUGCUGCCCACUUUGUUCUUGGAGAUGUAUCUAUUCCCUGCAAAAGGGACCCAUGCUGACCUCAUCUUCAUGACAGAAGAGAAGGAAUGGAAAAUUAUUAAGCACCUGCUAUUUCCCAAGUACUAUGUGGGGCUCAGGGAGCCCAACACCCUCAUGCCAUAAGGCGGGGACAGUGCUUAUCUGAGGUCUCACAUUGAGAGUCUGGACGGCAGUCUAUGUGACUAAAUGCAAGGGCCUGCCCACCCAGUCCAGCCUACAGGAUAAACACAGUCUUUCCCUCAAGCCUACAAGGGGUCUGGCCCCUGGGAACCCCUAACAGCCCAGAGUCCAGCCUGCCAGCUCUGUGUAUCCCAGAAAUCUCUUUUCUCCUCUGCUCCCUAGUGAAGACUGGUGCAGCCAGCCACGAAGGGAGGAAAGAUCAUGGAUGCACACCUCACUGUGCCUUCCUCUCCUUCCUCCGUGAGAUUUCAAGUCCUCAGCCAGACCCCUGUGUCAUGGGUGGCACUCUCAGUGUGGCACAGCGCCAAGCUCUGAGGUUCUGAAUGCCUCUUUUUUU